This 484-nucleotide ribosomal RNA is filed under the name uncultured bacterium. RNAcentral's name for it is "partial 16S ribosomal RNA". It matches the Rfam family "Bacterial small subunit ribosomal RNA", at positions 30 to 507 of the family's 1533-position model. The record is from RNAcentral.
AUUGAACGCUAGCGGCAGGCCUAACACAUGCAAGUCGAGCGGAUGAAGGGAGCUUGCUCCUGGAUUCAGCGGCGGACGGGUGAGUAAUGCCUAGGAAUCUGCCUGGUAGUGGGGGAUAACGUCCGGAAACGGGCGCUAAUACCGCAUACGUCCUGAGGGAGAAAGUGGGGGAUCUUCGGACCUCACGCUAUCAGAUGAGCCUAGGUCGGAUUAGCUAGUUGGUGGGGUAAAGGCCUACCAAGGCGACGAUCCGUAACUGGUCUGAGAGGAUGAUCAGUCACACUGGAACUGAGACACGGUCCAGACUCCUACGGGAGGCAGCAGUGGGGAAUAUUGGAUAAUGGGCGAAAGCCUGAUCCAGCCAUGCCGCGUGUGUGAAGAAGGUCUUCGGAUUGUAAAGCACUUUAAGUUGGGAGGAAGGGCAGUAAGUUAAUACCUUGCUGUUUUGACGUUACCAACAGAAUAAGCACCGGCUAACUUCGUG